This 425-nucleotide ribosomal RNA is filed under the name uncultured bacterium. RNAcentral describes it as "bacterial SSU rRNA". It matches the Rfam family "Bacterial small subunit ribosomal RNA", at positions 355 to 775 of the family's 1533-position model. The record is from RNAcentral.
UCGAGAAUCUUCGGCAAUGAGCGCAAGCUUGACCGAGCGAUGCCGCGUGCGGGAUGAAGGCCCUCGGGUUGUAAACCGCUGUCGUAGGGGAGUAAUGGCCAGUGGGUUCUCCCUCUGGUUUGAACAAUCCUAGGAGGAAGGACGGGCUAAGUUCGUGCCAGCAGCCGCGGUAAGACGAACCGUCCAAACGUUAUUCGGAAUCACUGGGCUUACAGAGUUCGUAGGCGGUCCCAAAAGUUAGGUGUGAAAUCCCUCGGCUCAACCGAGGAACUGCGCUUAAAACUGUGGGACUCGAGGGAGAUAGAGGAAAGCGGAACUGAUGGUGGAGCGGUGAAAUGCGUUGAUAUCAUCAGGAACACCGGUGGCGAAGGCGGCUUUCUGGGUCUUACCUGACGCUGAGGAACGAAAGCUAGGGGAGCGAACGG